Dipodomys ordii (Ord's kangaroo rat) is the source of this 65-nucleotide non-coding RNA. Lineage: Eukaryota; Metazoa; Chordata; Mammalia; Rodentia; Heteromyidae. The record is from Rfam.
GGUGGCUCAGUGGUAGAGCGCUUGCCUUGCACGAAUGAGGCCCUGGGUUCGAUUCCUCAGCACCA